UGUAUCCUUGAUUUGGCAUCUGCGGUGG
RNAcentral lists this non-coding RNA (28 nucleotides) under Rattus norvegicus (Norway rat). Lineage: Eukaryota; Metazoa; Chordata; Mammalia; Rodentia; Muridae. The record is from RNAcentral.